CCCUAUAGCUCAGCUGGUAGAGCAACUGAUUUGUAAUCAGUAGGUCGGGAGUUCGAGUCUCUCUGGGGGCACCA
Molecule: transfer RNA, 74 nt
Filed under: Roseovarius sp. HI0049
Lineage: Bacteria; Pseudomonadati; Pseudomonadota; Alphaproteobacteria; Rhodobacterales; Roseobacteraceae
Description: tRNA-Thr
Rfam family: tRNA
About the family: Transfer RNA (tRNA) molecules are approximately 80 nucleotides in length. Their secondary structure includes four short double-helical elements and three loops (D, anti-codon, and T loops). Further hydrogen bonds mediate the characteristic L-shaped molecular structure. tRNAs have two regions of fundamental functional importance: the anti-codon, which is responsible for specific mRNA codon recognition, and the 3' end, to which the tRNAs corresponding amino acid is attached (by aminoacyl-tRNA synthetases). tRNAs cope with the degeneracy of the genetic code in two manners: having more than one tRNA (with a specific anti-codon) for a particular amino acid; and 'wobble' base-pairing, i.e. permitting non-standard base-pairing at the 3rd anti-codon position.
Source: RNAcentral